RNAcentral lists this ribosomal RNA (292 nucleotides) under uncultured bacterium. RNAcentral describes it as "partial 16S ribosomal RNA". It matches the Rfam family "Bacterial small subunit ribosomal RNA", at positions 505 to 796 of the family's 1533-position model. The record is from RNAcentral.
GUGUCAGCCGCCGCGGUAAGACAGAGGUUGCAAACGUUGUUCGGAAUUACUGGGCAUAAAGCGCACGUAGGUGGUCCGCUAAGUCGGAUGUGAAAUUCCUCGGCUCAACCGGGGAACGGCAAUCGAUACUGGCGGGCUUGAGGUCCGGAGGGGUGAGUGGAACUCCUGGUGGAGCGGUGAAAUGCGUAGAUAUCAGGAGGAACACCAGUGGCGAAAGCGGCUCACUGGCCGGAAUCUGACACUGAGGUGCGAAAGCUAGGGUAGCAAACGGGAUUAGAAACCCGGGUAGUCC